GUGAGGAAUUUUCCGCAAUGGGCGAAAGCCUGACGGAGCAAUGCCGCGUGAAGGAUGAAGGCCUAUGGGUUGUAAACUUCUUUUCUCAGAAAAGAAUUAUGACGGUAUCUGAGGAAUAAGCAUCGGCUAACUCUGUGCCAGCAGCCGCGGUAAGACAGAGGAUGCAAGCGUUAUCCGGAAUGAUUGGGCGUAAAGCGUCUGUAGGUUGUUUAAAAAGUAUUCUGUCAAAGAUUAGGGCUUAACCCUAGAUAGGCAGAAUAAACUUUUAAGCUAGAGUUUGGUAGAGGCAGAGGGAAUUCCCGGUGGAGCGGUGAAAUGCGUAGAUAUCGGGAGGAACACCAAAGGCGAAGGCACUCUGCUGGGCCAAUACUAACACUGAGAGACGAAAGCGAGGGGAGCAAAUGGGAUUAGAUACCCUGGUUAGUCC
RNAcentral lists this ribosomal RNA (427 nucleotides) under uncultured bacterium. RNAcentral describes it as "partial 16S ribosomal RNA". It matches the Rfam family "Bacterial small subunit ribosomal RNA", at positions 354 to 796 of the family's 1533-position model. The record is from RNAcentral.